GACGAACGCUGGCGGCGUGCUUAACACAUGCAAGUCGAACGAAGGGGCGAACGGGUGAGUAAUACGGGGGAAACCUGCCCUCCUUUUUGGGAUAAGGCUUGGAAACGGGGUCUAAUACCGAAUAAAGGGGGAGGGGCCCGCGGCCGAGCGGCUGGUUGGUGGGGUGAUGGCCUACCAAGGGGGUGACGGGUAGACGGCCUGAGAGGGUGACCGGGCACGUGGGUACUGAGAUACGGCCCAGCAGCCUACGGGAGGCAGCAGUGGGGGAUAUUGAACAAUGGGCGAAAGCCUGAUGCAGCGACGCCGAGUGGGGGAUGAAGGCUUUCGGGUUGUAAUCCUCGUUCGCUAGCGAACGGGUAGGUGGAGAGGAAGCGCCGGCUAACUACGUGCCAGCAGCCGCGGUAAUAC
This 408-nucleotide ribosomal RNA is filed under the name uncultured bacterium. Its description in RNAcentral is "partial 16S ribosomal RNA". It matches the Rfam family "Bacterial small subunit ribosomal RNA", at positions 28 to 526 of the family's 1533-position model. The record is from RNAcentral.